GCCGGGCACGGUGGCACGUGCCUGUAGUCCUAGCUACUCGGGAGGCUGAGGUGGGAGGAUCGCUUGAGCCCAGGAGUUCUGGGCUGUAGUGCGCUAUGCCGAUUGGGUGUCCACACUAAGUUCGGCAUCAAUAUGGUGAACUCCUGAGAGCGGGGGACCACUAGGUUGCCUAAGGAGGGGUGAACCAGCCCAGGUUGGAAAUGGAGCUGGUCAAACUCUGGUGCUGAUCAGGAUUGGGAUGGUGCUGUGAAUAGCCACUGCACUCCAGCCUGGGCAACAUAGCGAGACCCGUCUCU
Molecule: signal recognition particle RNA, 296 nt
Filed under: Aotus nancymaae (Ma's night monkey)
Lineage: Eukaryota; Metazoa; Chordata; Mammalia; Primates; Aotidae
Description: Metazoan signal recognition particle RNA (ENSANAG00000006826.1)
Rfam family: Metazoan signal recognition particle RNA
About the family: The signal recognition particle (SRP) is a universally conserved ribonucleoprotein. It is involved in the co-translational targeting of proteins to membranes.
Source: RNAcentral